This is a long non-coding RNA of Mus musculus (house mouse), 1680 nucleotides long. RefSeq annotates it as predicted gene, 52536. The transcript is spliced from 3 exons. The record is from RefSeq and is a predicted model, not a curated record. NCBI's taxonomy places the organism in Eukaryota, Metazoa, Chordata, Mammalia, Rodentia, Muridae.
GACAAUGGCAGGAAGAGAGGAUUCUGGGAAAUAGUGAGAGAAUAAAAGGGAGACUUGUCCAGGGAGCCGGACAUAAAUCACCAGCAAGUAGCUGCACUGAGGACAGCAUAAAGGGAGAGAUUUGAAGGAGAUUGGCGAGAAACACUGAGGGAGACAACACUGAGGGAAACUUGAGAAGGACGCUGAGGGAGACACUGAGGGAGAAGAGAGCUGAGACUGAAGGAGAGGGAUACAUAUUAUCAUACACAGAGAGAUUUAUGCACAUACAGAUGGAUACAUGAUUGACGGGCGUUAAAUAUCCCUGCAAGGGUUGAGCAACAGGGUCUGUAUCUGGGAAGAGGAAAGAAACCCAGGCUUGCAUGUCCUUCUAUGCUAUCUUCAGUUUCUUAAAUUCCUGCUCAUGGAUGUAUAUCAUCUAACCCAUAGUCAUCUGUCCAAAAUGAAUCAAAUUUAAAUGCUAAGGCAUGGAUGAAGCUUAAAACUCUAAGGAGAAAAAACACUGAUCAGACUCCCAGACCCUGACACAUCCUGUCUAAGGUCCUGGUUUAGAGAACACCAGCAGCCAGCGUGGGGGUGGAUCAGCCUGUUUGGAGCACGUGAGACACUUAAACACUGGAAAUGAAGAUACAGCAUCACAGCAGACCCCAAAGCCACUGUGGUCAAGCCUGAGGCAGAGUUAACUUUCCCCUGAUCCUUAACAGGCUACCUGACCCUACAAAAUUCCUCUCCUGUGACCCUACAAAAGUCCCUUACUGUGACUCUCCUCUGGUCCCUGCCGCUCAUUCCGUUUCCCUGCCAAUACAUCAUUCCCCUCUCCUUAUAUUUUCUAGAAUCUUCUAUCUGCCCUUUGGCUCUGCCCCAAACUUCAUUUUGAGGAAUAUAUGGCAGGCAAUCCAAAUUGAUGCCAUAACUAUCCCUGAUUUUUGGUCCGCCCCUCUCAUCUGCAUUUUCAAGGUCCUGCCUUUCAGUGGGGUCCUCCACUCUCACCAGGCAUCGUAUGUUUGUUGAUGUGUUCUCUGGGCUUGCUCAGCAUCCAUUGUCUCCCCCUCUGGUACUUGACAUAAGAUCUGUGGAAAGCAAGGCCUCUCCCAUCGGUGCUCAUGGACUUCUAUUUUGUUUAGUCAGUUUGCUUUGUCUGGGGCCUAUGUUUGGUCAGUUGGUUUGAUGGUUGUUCCUUCAAUUUGUUUAUGGAGACAGGUAAACCAACUGGCUGGCUUUGAAUAUACCAAGUAGCCUAAGAUGACCUUGAACUCCCAAACCUCCUGGCUGCACCUCUCAAGUGCAUGUGUUUUAAGCAGGGUUUGCCUAGAAACAAACAGUUCAGGCAGAAGGCCCAAACUGGUCUGUACUGGCUGGUUUUGUGGGUCAACUUGUCACAAGCUGGAGUUAUCACAGAGAAAGGAACCUUAAGGGAAUGCCUCCAUAAGGUCCAGCUGUAAGACAUUUUCUCAAUUAGGGAUCAAGGGUAGGAGGGCCCAUUGUGGGUGGGGCCAUCCCUGGGCUGGUGGUCCUGGGUUCUACAAGAAGGCAGGCUGAGCAAGCCAGUAAGCAGCAUCUCUCCAUGGCCUCUGCAUCAGCUCCUGCUCUGGGUUCCUGCCCUGUGUGAGUUCCAGUCCUGACUUACUCUGGUGAUGAACAGCAAUGUGGAAGUGUAAGCUGAAUAAAUCCUUUCCUCCCCAA